GUUUCCAAACAUAUUCUGUGCUCUGAUUCUGAGCUCUGUUAGUGAAAAAAACCCAGCUGACUUCAGUGGGUUAGGAGCUACUGUUUUGUUCAACAGUAAAUAUGAUGCAGACUGGAAUGUGGUCACUGGCACAACAGUCACCAUGGGGACAGCAAACACAAGCAGUUCCACACAGCACCCGUGUUUCUCAGCACAGACAGACAGAAGCGGAGCCCCUUUCUGCCCUAGUUUUAGCACUGGACUACUGAGUAAUCUUUCACCAACGUAACUUGAAGGACAGUUCCAACAACCAGGGAGGGUAGUGCUGUGAGACAACGGAAUAUGUGUGCUUUGCAAAAAGAUGGACAGAACUGGUGGAAAAUUCAACCCAGAUACGCUAAUGAAGUCCUCAUCGGAAAUUGGCUGGAAGAGAGGAGAAGGUUUACAAAAGACUCUGGAAAACUCGGCAGCAGCAUAUACAAAACAGACUUCAUUUGGUUCCCAGAUCACAAACCAGACCAAACACUAAGGAGGACCAUGAUGGAAAAAUUUGAGGGCCUGCCAGUGCAGUACUUCUUCACCCAUCAUGAUGAGCCAAGAAGCCGAAAUCUAGUAUCAGAGUAUGAUGAUAAAUACAACAGACAUGGUUACAACCCUGUGCUGCUUCCCCUCCACAGCCGGAAUGAAUACAAGUUUGCCUGGAUUCCUAAGAAAGCAGAUUACCCUAUUCUUGAACCACCCACCAACUACGGCCUUCUUGAGCACCUGAUGAAAAAAUGGCACAAGAAAGAAAAUGGAGUGAUGAACAGUGUCUACACCACCUCCUAUGAAAGCCCACCGAUUUCUGCUUUUGCUACUCGUCAGCGGGGAAAAGCAGCUACAACUCAUGUCCUCCCUUCCAACCAGGGACACCUUCCCCAAAACAUUAGCAGAAUCCUGGACUAUGAAGGAUGUCAGAAAUAUCUGCAAGUCAUCCGCCAACUGGUGAGAGACAGAAAAGCAAGGGAUGCCUCUGUAAACCGCUUAGGGUGAUCCUAAGUACUACUUAAUAUAGCUUGUUGCUCAUGCAUGUAAGAGUGAUCUGUUCCAUGCAGAAGGAAUGAGAAUUAGGUUAUAGAGGUGGAGGGCUGCCUACUAGUUAGAAGAAGUUGCUGGGUUACAUUCAGACCUGCAGAUGGCUGGGAAUAUUUCAGAAGAUAUUAAAUCACUGAAAACAAAAUUUUCAUCUGUUGGUUUCUAGUAAAUGAAUAGUUAGAGUAAGAAAAAAAGAAAGCAAAGUCAGAUUGAACCUGAAAGAAUAUAAAUCCUUUAAUUGCCCCUAGUGCUUCUUUCAUUUUCACACAGCUUGCUCUACAUUUCUUCAAAGAGCGGAAUAGAAAUCUGCGUUACUCCAUAACGUGUCUGAAACAUCCAAGAAUGAAGUAAACAUUCGAAGUGACUGCAUACCUAGGGACAAGGUGAAGCACGGUUUCUCCCAAUGCAGUAAGCAAGCAGACCUUGAUUGCCCUUGGCUUUACAUACUGAAUGGCACCUCAUGGUAGAUAAGCUGCAAAGUGAGCUACGUUAGCUGACCUUACCUUACCAAACAGUAAACCUAGAAGAAAUUGCUGUAGGUGGCCUUUAUACUGAUGGCCACCCUCAUACUUUACUCGGUUAAGAAAGUAUGUGAACAACCUAUGUACAAAGUGCUGACAGAAGUCCAAAUUCUUACUGCACUGCUGUGCGUUUAAAUCACGUUUGGUCCAGAGGAGAGAUAUUUGCAAGGGUCAGCUGCUAUUAGUCUGAGGCUCAGUGAUAGACUUGCAGCAAGCUAAAGGCUUAGAUUAAAUAUAUCUGGAAUUACUUCAAUGCAUAUUUCUCUCUUCAUCAAUUCUGCUCAAGAUUAGCAAUAAUAUAAUUAUUUUUAGGAACAAGAUAAAGCAUGUUCUGUAGUCUUGGCAUGGACAAGCCUCUGGCCAUGAUCUGUACAGAGUUUUUACCUCUGCAACAUUUUGUUCACUGUGAUUUAGGUUCGCUUUUUCAAGGUUGGCUUUUCAGCUGAAGGACACUGAUGAUUCAGAUGUGUGUGUAGAGCAACAGUGGCACCUAUUGGCAAAGGGAUUCUUCACUAAUUGGGAGACAUGCAAAAACGUCUGCAGGAGAGGAACCAGACCCUCGGCUGGCCGCAGGAACCAGAAAGCAGCAUUGUUAAUGAAAUCUUUUAGAGAUGCAAGAGCCCUGAUAAUUAGAUAAGUAUUAUAUAGGGUUUUUUUGGCUUCAAAGCCCCAGGGAGAACAAAGGCAAUUAGAAAAAAUUGAAAGCAAAAUAGGUGAAAGUAGUCACUGAAACACAGCCAGCUAUUAGUGCUGUGCUAUAAAAAACACAUUCUGUUGAAAAAGCAUUUUUAAAGUAACCCAUAAAGAAGGGGUUACAAUGGAAUAAAGAAGCCUUGCAAUGGAAUGAAAAUUGGUGGAUACAGAAAUUCUUGUAUCCACAAGGAACUCCAUCCAGUUUAGUUUUAUUGCCAAUACAACUAUAAAAAGUGUAUUUUUUCUGUUUGUUACCUAUGUGCUAAUAUUUUUAAUGAAAAUACCAGUCAGGCAUGCAUACUAACAGCACAACAAAGCCUAUAUAAUAUUUAUAAUAUUUAUAAUAUUUAGCCCAUAUAAUAUUUAAAAUACAGCUUAGAAAAUUACACAAAGGUAGUCUUAAUUUCACAUAAUUCUAUCAGUUUGCUUAAAAAUCUGGUCAUCAAUCAUUCAUAAUUAUUAAAUAUUUAUAGUAAAAUAAACAUUUAUGGUUAUUAUCUACUGUGCUUCUAAAACCAAAGCUCAGAUAUGGAAAGACGUGGCCAGCCUGAUGUACAGGGGGUUACUGAGGUGCACAAUUACACAUUACUGUGAGAUUUGUAUGAAGACAUUAAUUCCAAGUCUGUAAGCUGACUGGACAGGGCUCCCCAAGCACAGCUCUAAUCUGUUCAACUAUUGAGACAUUUACAAGUAAAAUAUAUGAAUAUGACACCCAAAGGAACCAAACAAAGCAUUUUGGAACUGGAUGAAAUGCAUUUUGAUAGAGAGCUUCUUAAAUAGAAAACUGCACAACUCUGUAAGAUAUGUCAGUUGUGAUUAAUAAUACCCAGGAGCAAAAUAUCUGCUUUGAACUGUUUAACCGAUAAGCUGUUUUCACUUUGGUAAUGCUAAAUAUGCAUCACAGAUAUCUAGCUAGCUUUUUUGGUGACUUAAGCCUCAAGAUGAACUCAUGACAGAAAGAGUCCAAGCUUCUCCAUCUCUUAAUCUCAGUUCAGUGAAGGUGGAAUCAAACACAAACCAGCCAGUAACAAAAAAACUGAAUGAACGUAACUUUAUCUCAAACACAUCGCUCAAAUAUUCUACAAGACAAAAUUUCACACAGAGUAGCACUGAUAAUCAAGCUCUUCCCCCCUUUUCUUCUUACAAAGUGGAGUUGACCUCAGUUAUUCCAGACACAACGCCCCAAAACUGUAAGGUCGAGCCAUUGCUGAAAGCAGUGCUGCAAACACAUGGCUACACCAAGAAUACCUCGUUUAUAAUUUCUGGCUGACCAUUUUGAUUAGGUCAAUCCUAGGUUCUGAUCCUGUACAUCUGUUUUAUUGCCAGUAGGUUGAGGUAAGCAUAUUCACAGUUGUUUUCUGAGUACUAUACUGCAUUUGGCAGAAGUGUGUUGAAGUGGGAAUGGCAGAUAAAAAUGAAGGAUGCCUACACCUGUAGUUCAUAGACACCAGUUCUCGCUGAGACAAACAAUAUCGUCUAACCAGUUACAAUAUUGCUGUGCUAGAGGUUCCUUUAUUAAUAAAUACCCUUGUUGUGUCUAACACAAAUACAUUUCCCAACUCCCCCAGUCUUCAGAUAUUACAAGGACUUUAAUUCAAGAUAAAACCACUAAAACAGGCCAUUUUGCCUGUGCUUCAAGAACAGGUGAAAACUGAAACAAUUUAGAUGUUCACAGCUGCCAUGAAAAAGAGUUUCAGAGGAAGAGUCGUAUUUCAAAAAACUGGAUAUCCCCCGCGCCCUCUUCUCUUCCCAGAACUUGGGACUUUCCAUAAACGAUCACGAGACAUUUUAGCAAGAGAUACCAAAUGCAAUUCCCCUCUGUUUAAUUAGCCAAGACAGCAUGCAGUGGCAUGGACGUAGACAUGGGCGGGUCUACAAACAAGUCUCUGAGGGCAGCGCAGUAGUAGGAACGCAGUAACUUUGAAGUACAACCUGUGUACUCACGGCAGUCUGGCUACAGUGCACUGAAGCUCAACUUUCUGGUGGGUUUUGCAGCUUGUGCCACCCGCUGUGCAGCUGGGAUUAGACAAUUUCUUUGCACCUAAGGUGGUCAACACUGCAGCCACACCAGCGGUAUGUCUUUCAUCACUGCAAAUAGUAACAGUGCUCAUCCGCCCUGGUUGUAUACAGCAAUAUACUAUUACCAACUUCAGUGUCAGCGUUUCUCUUCUCCAAAAACUUUCAGGUGACAUUCUGGCUCCGCUGAAGUCAGAGGUAAAAGUCUUAUUUUUCCAAAUAUCUGUUGGACAUGGAAAAAGAUCCCCAAUUUGUCAUUCUCCCCCUUUCACAGAUUGGGAAAGGCACUAACUAUCCAUUCACUUGCACCAAAGCUUUUGCCAUCAUGAGUUUGAUUUCACAGACAAUUGCCUUCAGGCCUUCCAGCAAAGUGCAAAACACAUAUUUGAAGAGGUUAUUUAAACACUUGGCCUCUCCGGGGUACAACAUGCCGCCCAGGAAACAAAUUCCAAGAACAUGUGCCUUUGAAAAAUAACCUUUAAAAAAAGACAGCUGUUGAUGCUACACAUCUAGCUUCAGACAUUUGGUCGGCUGGCUUAAACCUCUGACAGGCUGUGGCCACCUACAUAUAGAAGCCAUAUUCCAUCAUCAGCUAAAUAUAUUCGUAUCUCUGUAGGGGCAGGAUACAAAAAAACCUGCAAGUCUGCACUUACUAAACUAAGGGAUCAAUUCCCUAAGUCAGCUGGGAAAAGCAAUCGAAGCAGACUGGAAUAGUGACAUUCCAGCCAGCAGACAAACAAGAUUGUAUUGUGUGUGUACCCCAGAAUAAACAUCAUGUGAAUUCUCUACUUGGCCAAGAAAACUGAGAUAAUUAGGAAAGGGAAUCAUCAUCUUUUGUAUAAUGAUCUACUGAUUGAAGAGUUUUGUCCUAGCUGAAAAAAUAUGCUAAGAAGGGAAAAUUAGAGGUGUUUGGGGCCUUUUGGCAAUAAAUUUUACUUCUUUGCUGUUCAAAAAACCUCAUACAAACCGAGGGGGUUUCCACCUAAACUUCAGGGGCUUUUAUAUUUCGUACCCAUACAGCAAUCAGGUGUAUUUCAGCCAAUAUUUAAUAGUUCCUCAAUUUAGGGGGAGGGAGGGAGUAAGAGAGAGACCGACCUGAAUUUAUCACACAUUUAAUUUUACCCACUCGAGCAAACAUAUUUGCCUGAGACAAGGCUAAUGAAGUAGUGUCACUGAAGGAAGUGCAGAGAAAUUGUUAAAAUCCCUAAAUCUAGAGCACACAUUUAUUACAAACUGGCUUAAAACAAAGCUUAUUUGCCUCAACAUCACAGAGGUGUAACAAGUCCAAAAUCAGGGAUUUAAAACUGGGGGAUUGUUUUGCUUUUGUGGGUUUGUGGGGUAUUGUUUUUUGGGGGUUGGGGGUUGUUUUUGGGUUUUUUUUUCCCAAUUCAUCAUCCUAACCAGAUUCAUAUGCAUGCUGAGCUCUUUACUGUAUCACCUUGGGUAUAAUAGAGCAUAAAUAUGUGCUCCAAAACACUGCUAAAUGUAGCAGAGACCAAUUAUUUCUGUAUUUAGGGGGUCAGAAUAUGCUUGAAGUGAAAUUUAACAGCAGUGCUAUGGCUUAUCUUCUCUUACUUCUAUGUAAAAGAGAAUAAACAGGCUCUAAUUAAGAUAAGCAGUGAGAACAUUGCCUAUGAAUAAAGUAAUCAUAACUUGCAGGUAUUGUAUUUAAUCAAAUCAAGAAAACCAAUCAGUGAUUUGUCUGGCUUAUCAUAACUAAAGACUUAAUCAACAAAGUCUAGAAAAAAACAAAGAUAAUAUUUAUUUAUUAGAUAAUUGAAUAAAAACUUAUUUCAUCACGAAAAUACCAUGCUACUCACUGGUGUGAUAAAAAUCCUGCCGUAAACCCGAGCCAUUUAAUGUCUGCUCUUUUUUAUUUUGCUGAUUGUGUUACUCUAUAGAUAAGUUUAAAAGGAAGGUGUUUGAAGCGGGCAUAAUUUAUCUCCACGUUGUAACGCAGCCUUGGAUGCUGGCAAUAAUUCAGCAGGUGGGUUAGUGCUAGCUUGUAUUUUGCAGAAAUGCUUCUUUUAGUGGCAACUUCCAUGCUUUCUUAGCUCAUAAAUUGUCUAUUUCUCCUCUCAAUUCUGCUUUUGUCAUAACUUUUAAUCUGAAUCUUGUCGUCCUUUUAACUCAGGCACUGUACAGUCGGAGGAGAUCCUGACCUUGGAUGGAAUGGGGAGGCAGUUGUGGAGAGACAGAACACUCGUAACCUCCUAAAGUGAACAAUGUCAAUGGGGAAGGACAUCCUCAAGUCGGUGAUCCCUUUUGAGUGAAUCCCUAGCAAACACAUUUCACCGAGUCACCAAAGGUAAAAAAAAAAAAGCCCAACAAUUUUUGCUGAUCAUUUUUACUCCUUUCAUUUUAGAGAAAUAUAACUCUUGGCUGGAUAUACUCAGCCAAAUGUUUUAUGAAUUGGGAAUCUCCCAAGCUUUUUUAUUUAAAGAGCUCUUGAUAUUCUUUUACUGCAGUAAACACUGAGCCUUUCAUAACCUUGCUAUGUGUGAUCCCUUCUGAAAGUCACUCUGCCAUCAACUGUACUGGGAUUUCAUAAUAGUAAUUUGCCACACUGUCAGAAAUAGGCUUAUCAUGCUGCUGUCAUUGGUGUCAUGUGAACAUCACUCAGUAUGCUGUGCCCUUCAAAUGAAAGCCAGUGCUCUGAGCCAGUAGUAGAGAGAGAAAGAAGAAAAAAAAAGGGAAGAGUAAGAGAACAUUAACUCUCUAAAGUCAAGCACAGCCUCCACCUGAAGGAAGAAGAUGCAGAGCUACUGUAUAUGGUGCGAGCACUUGUUUAAACAUCAGUAAUAUUGACUGGGUAAUAAAGUUGCAUUUUUUUCCAGUCCAUCUGAAAUCUCUGGUAAAUCUGUUCCUGUUGUGUCUCAUUCUGUGAGCGUGGCAUGAACUAAUUUCCAACACCACUAGAAAGACAUCAUUCCCAGUGCCCACAGGCCAUUAGCAGAUCUUGACUAGUUGUUCAGGUUUUAAAAAUAUAUUUCCAUCAUUUUCUUUCUGCUUUUUUGCAAAUGCUUUUGUGGGUAGUUUCCUAAGCUUUUCCUGUAAAAAGCCUUGGAGAUUUGGAAUUCGCAGAGUUUUAUUUAAAGAAGCAAUAGGUAUUAUAACAUCCUUUAAAAGGGGUUCUCACCUGCACUCACACAGUUCAAACAGUGCUUUUCUCAAAACUUUUUCUCCUAUAAAGUCACCCACCCCGUAAACUCUUUAGCAAUUUCCAUGGUUGUGUCACGGUUGAAUCAG
Athene cunicularia (burrowing owl) is the source of this 7532-nucleotide RNA transcript. It is a transcript of the gene named chromosome 21 C1orf158 homolog, with no coding region annotated. The transcript has 5 exons. Lineage: Eukaryota; Metazoa; Chordata; Aves; Strigiformes; Strigidae. The record is from RefSeq and is a predicted model, not a curated record.